This 424-nucleotide RNase P RNA is filed under the name Bradyrhizobium lablabi. RNAcentral's name for it is "Bacterial RNase P class A". It matches the Rfam family "Bacterial RNase P class A". Rfam says of the family: Ribonuclease P (RNase P) is a ubiquitous endoribonuclease, found in archaea, bacteria and eukarya as well as chloroplasts and mitochondria. Lineage: Bacteria; Pseudomonadati; Pseudomonadota; Alphaproteobacteria; Hyphomicrobiales; Nitrobacteraceae. The record is from RNAcentral. RNAcentral also lists the same sequence under 1 other name.
UCAGUCGGCCGGACGGCCGCUCCCGCUACGGUCGAAAGGCUGCGGGAGAGGAAAGUCCGGGCUCCAUCGACAUACGGUGCCGGAUAACAUCCGGCGGGGGCGACCCCAGGGACAGUGCCACAGAGAACGAACCGCUCCCCACCCGAAAGGGAGGGGCAGCAAGGGUGAAAAGGUGCGGUAAGAGCGCACCGCGGGUCCGGCAACGGAAACGGCAUGGCAAACCACACCGGGAGCAAAACCGAAUAGGGACGGCAACGCGGUAAGUUCGCUUUAUGCGAUAACACCGCAGGGCGAUGUCAGGCUCGCCGUCCGGGUAGGUUGCUCGAGGCCAUGUGCGAACAUGGUCCCAGAGGAAUGGCCGUCACGUAUCGUCCGCGCAAGCGGCGGUGCCUUACAGAACCCGGCUUACAGGCUGGCUGAUAUC